CAGUAGCCGCGGGAAUACGUAGGUGGCAAGCGUUGUCCGGAAUUAUUGGGCGUAAAGGGCUCGCAGGCGGUUUCUUAAGUCUGAUGUGAAAGCCCCCGGCUCAACCGGGGAGAGUCAUUGGAAACUGGGAAACUUGAGUGCGGAAGAGGAGAGUGGAAUUCCACGUGUAGCGGUGAAAUGCGUAGAGAUGUGGAGGAACACCAGUGGCGAAGGCGACUCUCUGGUCUGUAACUGACGCUGAGGAGCGAAAGCGUGGGGAGCGAACAGGAUUAGAUACCCGCGUAGUCCCUGUCUCUUAUAC
Molecule: ribosomal RNA, 301 nt
Filed under: uncultured bacterium
Lineage: Bacteria
Description: partial 16S ribosomal RNA
Rfam family: Bacterial small subunit ribosomal RNA
Source: RNAcentral